RNAcentral lists this long non-coding RNA (1459 nucleotides) under Populus tremula. RNAcentral describes it as "long non-coding RNA (PTRE_LNC002778)". Lineage: Eukaryota; Viridiplantae; Streptophyta; Magnoliopsida; Malpighiales; Salicaceae. The record is from RNAcentral.
GAAGAUCUCUUUAUUGAUAUUGCUUAGCACACUUGCUAUUUAUACAGAGUACAUUGCCAGAUUGUAGCGUUUUCAGGUUUCAGCCCUAAGCUACUUACUCACCUGCUGCCUAGCAGCUCAACGUUUUAUCCUCAAGGCAGUUUUGUGACAAAGUUAGGAAAUUGAAAUAAAGCAGCAACUAAAUUGUCCCUUUUUCUCCUUCUUCUUCUUCUUCUUAAAUGGACACUAGAGAAACACAAUCAGUCAACUUGUAGUUAAUAAAGGAAUCCAACUCACGACACAGCCUCCCAUGAAGUUUCGAGGUCGAGGCUUCUUUUCAGUGCUCGACCAUGGCGUCCUCAGUAAAACAAUAGAGUUAUAAAUCUUGCUCAAAUGAAGAUUCCAAAGGAACCUAUUUGGUUCUUUCCUGCAAAUAUACAGACGGCAUUCGUAAGAAUAUAUAUGGUCUGUGCAUCAUUGAAUUUAAGGAUGACAUGAAAACAAAAAAAAGAAGAGACUCUCUCUCUCUCUCUCCUGAUAAAUCAAGGAAUAUAUAGAGAAUAUGCAGGAAUGGAUAUUGGAAAAGGCCAUAUAAUGGAAGGAUGCGUGUGUGUACGUGUAUAUAUAUUUUUAAUCAGAGAGGUUCAAAUGAUCUUAAAAUAUAUAAUGCGAUACCUCCAGCUGCAUAACAGAAAAAGAAACGUAAUCUAUAAGAUUAAAACAUGCUUUAUUUAUAAAAAAAAAAAAAGAAUUAUGGAGUACAUGCACAACCACUAGACCAAGUCUAAAAGAUAUAGUCAUGAUCCAUGCACACCGUUACAAGUGAAGUUGAGGUGGAAGAUGAAUUAAUUAAAACCUUGUCGUUUUAUAUAUUUUGAUACAUUGGAAAAGGUUGUUCCAGAUAUAGUGCUUAGCGCAGUAUUUCUCAUUUUCUUGUGCAUGCAUGUUAUGUAUCAAUUCUGCCAGAAUUAAUCAAGUAGAACUGGACGUGUUGCAUAACAGAAAACGAAAUGAAAGAGUGAUUAUUAUUCGUGAUCAAAACUUUCAUCGAUUCGGUGAUUUUUAAGCAAGUGACCUUUAUCACUAAGCAGCCUUACAAACCAUAGUGAUCAAAAGUUAAUUAAAACAAAAUCAUCGGUAAGAACAUAUAUAUAUAUAUAUAAUUCGACUUAAUUACGGGUAUAUGCUAUGCUCUUUUUUUUUUUGGGUUUAUCAGUCAUAAAACAACAGCAGCAGCAACAACAAUGUAUCAGGGUAUGUAAUUAUUUGGCUUUGUUUCAAAUUAAUAUAUACUCGUACUUCUUCAUGAGUUGCCCUAGCUCUAUGGGUAACAGCUACAAAAAUCGAAAUUUUCAUGGAGUAUAAGUACGUACCUCGUUCAAAGAGUGCGGGCUGGUUCCUUUAUCAUCUUCUUCGAGUUUGGCUAUUUCCAUAAGACAAUGUACAAGAUGAACUUCCUAAGGGGUAAGAUGGAAUUGUA